UGCCAGCCGCCGCGGUAAUACGGAGGGUGCAAGCGUUGCUCGGAAUCACUGGGCGUAAAGGGUGCGCAGGCGGACUGUUAAGCCAGAUGUGAAAGCCCGGGGCUCAACCCCGGAACUGCAUCUGGAACUGGCAGUCUUGAGUGUGAGAGAGGAAAGUGGAAUUCCUGGUGUAGAGGUGAAAUUCGUUGAUAUCAGGAGGAACACCAGCGGCGAAGGCGGCUUUCUGGCUCAUAACUGACGCUCAUGCACGAAAGCGUGGGGAGCAAACAGGAUUAGAUA
This 279-nucleotide ribosomal RNA is filed under the name uncultured bacterium. RNAcentral describes it as "partial 16S ribosomal RNA". It matches the Rfam family "Bacterial small subunit ribosomal RNA", at positions 506 to 784 of the family's 1533-position model. The record is from RNAcentral.